This 7336-nucleotide long non-coding RNA is filed under the name Diabrotica virgifera virgifera (western corn rootworm). RNAcentral describes it as "uncharacterized LOC114326682". The record is from RNAcentral. Lineage: Eukaryota; Metazoa; Arthropoda; Insecta; Coleoptera; Chrysomelidae.
CAAGUUCUUGUUUAAGGUGGCUUUGUGUAACGGUCACGUUACAAAAUUAGCUCUUUAAUUAUUAUUAUAAUUAUUUUUCCUCGGUCUCCAUUUAAAUUCUCUAAUUUCUCGUAUAGGACUACUGGGGUGACGUCAUACCUCGGUGAUGGAACGUACUCCACCUAUCGAGAAUGAUUUCGUUUUCUGAGAGAGUUUGACGUUUACCUUGGCGGAGAAGCGCCUCUCGUUCUUUACUUGACUGUUGGCUGUUGUGUCGAAUAGAGGUACCAUAUAGAAUGGCGGAUGAUUUCAUCCAACUGAUUUUAUAACAUCAAGCAAUUUAAAGUAAAGUAAAAAGUUACCACCAAGGAUUGUCUGGAGUGAGGAGAUAUGUGGGUGACAACUCCUGUUGGAGUCUAAAUAGGAAUCAUUCGGUGAGAUCUACUUUUUCAUAAUAAUUUUUUUUAUGUAUAGCUUUGUUUUUUGUUAUGGAACAUUAGAUAUACUUGGUUCAUUUUUAAACUUUCUUAGUCAAUCUAUUAAGGGAAGGAUGUAGAUUAUUUCGAUCUUUAUAUUAUCUUUAUAUCGAUCUUUUAUAUUAAUGUGGUUUUUGGUUUUACAUAACCAAACAUUUUUGAAGUCUUCAAAUUAAUAUUGAAAAUAAUUACCAUUUCUCUGUAGGUUUUAAAUUAUUCGACAUCCAAUAUUUUAUAAAUUCAAUAUAUUUUUACAGAUAUUUCCUCAAAUAAAUCAUUUCAAUGUCAUUUGUCCAUGUAUUCACACUCAAAACAGUUCAAGGUUACCUGAGAUUGGUUUUUGUUCCAGUUUUAAUGGUCGGUUUUUCUAUACUAUUGCUUCUAAAAAGUAUUUCUUCUUCCCUUUACUUUUUGCUCAUGUUUAAAAUGAGAAAUAAAACUGGGAAUGUUUUUUAGCCAUUUGGGAGAAACCCUACCAUGAAGUCAUAGACCUUAUUUGACCACCUAGGGAAACCACUACAGCCACAGUCAAGUCACCAUUGGGAAUACGUCUUUUUGGGAACAAGCUAUGGGAGCGUUCCAGCUCAAUUUUCGUCUUGGCACCUGGGCCUACAGGAGUCAUGGGGUCGCACCAUCCUGGUGCAUCAUUUUCUAGGAUGCAACCGCAACCUCGUUUGGGAACAUUUAGUGAGGUGUUGUAGUAACUAUUGAUUUUUUUUAUAUUUCAGACUAUCUGUUAAAUACACUGUUUUUUUCCAGAUUUAGGUUACCUCUGGUUUUUUUGACAUAUUUGUAUAUUAGAUUAUUUGGUUCCCAAACUUUGUAUCUACGGUAACUUCUUGUGCACAGGAAUAAGCCUAGAGAAAAUUAGGUUUUUAAUAUUUUAUUAUUGCUUUGAUAUUGGUUUAUGUAAUUCGGGUAAAUUUAUUUUUUUAAUAUUACUAGCUUGUUUCCCAAAUAUUUUACUGUUAUUCGCUUUAUUCCAUUUGUUCGGUUAAUUUAGGUCAUCGUCGGUAUUUAUCUCAACUUCAUUUCUACUUUAGUCAAUUGUAUAUUUAACUUUAUUUAUUCAUUAUUGUAUUUUCCCUUAGUGAGGCUUGGGCCUAUUUAUUUGUUGUAUUUUCAUCUUUGUCAGUUUCCUUUAGUUGUACGUAGCAGGCGUACUAUAACCAUUUGGUAGAAGACUUAUGUAAUUUUGUACCCUAUAUGUUAGUGAAAGGUACUUAUACCUGUAAUUUUGUAACAGGUAACAUUGUUGUUAUCUUAGGUUGAACAUAACUUUUGCAAACUUUUGUCAUGUUAGAGUCACAUAAUAUGAACUUGUUUAACUCAGAGAUUGUUAAAAAUCUGGUAGUUCAUUUUAAUAAAUGUUUAUUUAUUUUGUAUAUCAUUUAUUUUUAUUACUCCUUUAUGUUCAUUAUUACAGGUUUAAUAUAUUUAAUAUUUGACAGCAGUGUAAGAUACCUGGGAGAAUGAUCGAAGAUCAUUUUCAUGGCGCCCAUGAUUAGUUAGUUUUAUUUAUUUUGUUCGUUUUUAGUCAUUAGUCAUCUCCAUUCAUUUUCAGUACAUUAUUCUUAUUUUAUUAUUUCAUCUUUUAGUCAUCAUUACUAUCUAUAUAGAGCUACUGUUCUUCGACAGGCAUGCAAACGAGCCGUAUCCAUCCUUGAGUGUCAAGUUGCUCUCUUGCAUCUAUAGCUAGCCAACUCUAUUCAGUUUGCCUCUGUCUCUUCCCACUUCUACUUCUAUCCCUUCUAAUUCCCCUUUCUUCAGUACUACUGCACUUUAGUAGUAUUUUUUUUUUUAUUUUUCCUAUUGCGGCUUCUCAACGUAGAAGUCACUUCAUCCUUUUCUUUACACACCCCACACUCUCUUCUUUUCAGCUACAACUAUUUAGCUACCUAGUCUUAAUUCUUUUUUUUUCCUUACUUCUGUUGGAGUACUUAUAUCUUUCUUUUUAACUUUCACUCCAACAGAAGUUUUCUUAUUUUUGUUACACUGGCUGCCCAAUGCGUGGUGCCAACCGUUUAUGGUUUUAAGACAGUAGUUCUUUUAGUUCAUUUUUAUUUUAUUGGAAUUUUUGUAUUAUUAACUUUUUGAUAUCUUUGUAUACAUGUUACUUCUGAUUUAUUUUUGGUCUUUAAAAUUUUAUUAAUACUAAACAGGUAGACUUAUACUGCUUUUGGUUUUGAUUAGUUUAUUUCGAUACCUCAUUUUUAGUUUUAGUGGUACAGCUCAUAUUUUAGUUUGAAUUUUGUAUUUUUAUUGGAAACUUAUUUGUGUAUUUAGAAUGAGUAUACAUGACUGACAUUAUGUUCUAUUAUUAUGGAUUUUUAGUCCUUCUACCAAUAGUAGUAUGUUUGCACGUACAAUUAAUUAUUGACUAUAUGCAUAUAUUUUUUUUCUAGUGUGGUUAUAUUUUACACCUAACUGGAAAUUAUUUUCAGUAUUUAGGUAUUUUAUUUAAUUUAUUGAUUUGAUUAUUUAUAUAUUUUGCUGGCAUUUUGAUUUGUUGGUGUGUCGCUAAUAUUUUCUCCAUAUGUAUCUUUGUCUUACAAACUUUAGAUUAUAUUUUAUAUUUGUUAUUUUUGAUAUUUGGGUUGUUUGGUAAGACAGGCACACACCACAAGGCAAUAUCGGUCCACAACAUUAGCUUCUAUACAUGAUACGUUGAAUUCGCAUGGUUCGGAUGAUUACAGAUGGUCAUCCAAAUUUAAUUUCUUUAAUUGGUAGUGUUAAACAUUACAAUGAUAAAUUGUAUAGUAAAGUAGUUCCAUUAUCCAUCUCACCUUCUAGUUUGUUAAUGUUGAUAAUAAUAUUAUACCAGUGUGGGUACCAUAAUAUAAUGCUUAUAUAAAUCAGAUGCUUUGGGUUGAGAUGUGAAUAUAAAUUUUUUGUUAGCUAAGAAGCAUUGAUAAUAGUCCUUAUUUGUCUAUUAAGUUUUAGAACAAUACUCAGAAGAAGAUUGACUUAACAGUGGUUGAGCCAAUCUCUUCUUUGGUUUGCCUUUAGCUCAAUUUUUAUUGUUAUAUUUUAAUCUAAUGUUUUUAAUCAUCAGGUAGUGCAGGUACCUACAUUACUCGAUUUCAUCUUUUGGCUUUGUUGUCGAUGACUUUUAAUUUAUUAUUUAUUAAUUUAAUUAUUAUGUAGUACUCUCGUUUAUGAGCUUAUCAUUUUGUUGCAUUAUUAAUGGUGCACUUUUCAAUAUGUAAGCUCAGACAAGUACGUUGGUUUAAUAUUGAUAUUUUGUAUGGAACUAUGGAACUUAUCAUAAUGUACACUACUAUAUCUCAGUUUAUGUGAUAUAUUUUGAAUAUUUGAUUACUUACUAUUUUUUUUAUAUUAUUUCUAUAUUUUGUUCUUGGAUUUGCCAUAGUGGAAAGAUGUUGUGGUUUAUAAUUUGUUAUUGGGUUACUCUAUUAACAUUUGUCUCCAAUAUCUUAAACACUUUAUAAUAAUUUAUAUCCUUAUAUCCUACACACUAUGAUUCUGGAAUUAGUUUGGAAGUUUGAGGUAUGUACGGAUUCUUAAGUCUCUAAGUCUGAAUGUAUGCAUGGUAUGUGGUUGUAUGCAUAAUGUAUGUAUGUAUGGAUGAUGUAUGUAGGUAUGGAUAAUGUAUGUAUGUAUGAAUGAGGUAGGUAUGUAUGGAUGAUGUAUGUAUUGAUUUCUUCUUUUGGACUAGUUUGUCAUUACUCUGUUGAUACUCUCAUUUGUGAAUGCGUGGGUUCGAGGUUGUUGCUCAGCAACUGAUCACUGCUGUUCGAUUGACUUCGUGAUCUAUGUCUUUCAUGGCUGAGUACGCAGAUGUUUUUUUUUUCAUCAUAAUAUUUCUGGUCAGGAAAUGUUGGCCACAUUUCCUAACCAUUCUUCUGUAAUUAGUCCAAUUAUUCCAGUUACAUUUUUACCAUUAGAUAGGGAAGUAUUUAGUUCAUAUUAGGUCUUUUACUUCAUAGUAUGUUUGUACUUUGAGUUGAUGAGUAAACAUGGAUAAAUAUCUUGCGCACUUGUUUAUAAAUCAAUGCUUAGGCCAUCCCUAUACAUAGUAGGUUCGUUAAGUCAGUAUUGGGAGUGUUUAGACAGAUGAGUUGUUCAUUUGAGUAUAUUCCCACUUCUUUCCUUAGGCAUUAGUCUUGCUAUUCAGAUUCUGGAAUAUUUCCUGAAUAAUUCCACGUAUGUGAGAGCGCAUGAAUCUGCAGUUUUAAUUAAAAUUGGUUGCCCGUUCUCGUCAAUUUUUUUUUCUUAUCACUUAUCCUAUUUUUUUUCCUAUACCCUAUCACAUAUUUUUUUUGCCUAUCACUUAUCAUAGUGUCAUAGAACUUACGAGUUCAUCAUGUAUUCUUUUUCUUUCUUACUUAUUCUUACGUUAUUGGUACCUUAUCUGAGUCUGGUUAUUCUCAUACAUCUGUGGUAGCAACAUGCUAUAGUUCGCGAAUACCAGCAUGAAUUAAGUUAUGUAUUUUCUAUAAUAUCUUAGUCAAUACACUUUAGGUAUUUAUCUUACUUUUGAUUUAGUUAGGUUACAUCUCUGUUACUUAGUCUGUUAGCAAUAUUUAUUCUGACUUAUUUUGAUUACUUAGUUUGGAUAGGUUCAUAUUACCGGAUGAGGGUGUAUGUAGACCUAAUUUAUUUAUUUUGUUCAGUAUUAGUUACCAUUGGAUCCAAUAAUUUAGUUUAUUUAGUAUUAGUAAGAAUUGGUCCAUAAAUUUGCCUGAUCGUUCUUCUUUGGAUAUACUCCUAUAUAAAUCUGGUGUCCAUUGAUAGUCCGAUUCUGGAUAAGUGUCCGAUUCUUCAUUUAUUUUGUGUAUUUGGUUGGAUAGGUUCGUAUUACCGGAUGUGGGUGUACGUAGACCUGAUCUGUUUAUGUGGUUUAGUAUUGGUGUGAAUUGGUCCAUAAAUUUGCCUGGUCGUUCUUCUUUGGAUAUACCUUUUAUGAAUCUGGUGUCCACUGAUAGUUCGACUUUGGAUUAAAUGUCCGAUUCCACAUCUAUUUUGGUUAUUGAGUUUUGGAUUCCUUUGGUAUGUUUAUUAUUGGUAUUAUUUGGCAUUAGUGAGAGUUGUUCCAUAAAUCUUCCUGAUUGUUCUUCUCUGGAUAUACUAUUAUGAAUCUGGUGUCCAUUGUUAGUUCAAUUUUGGAUUAAGUGUUCAAUUCUUUACUUAUUUUAGUUACUGAUUUUUUUUUAUUCACUUGGGUGCAUUUGCUUUUGAUAUGGUUCGAAUUGGCUCACACCUUUUCCUGGUUGUUCCGUCCUUGGAUAUAUCCUUUAUAAAUCUGAUGUCCAUGGAUAGCUCAAUUUUGGUUUUAGUGCCCAAUUCGACACUUAGUUAUUAUUAUGAACUUUAGUACAAUAUUUAGUUUGUUUGGUUUUUGAAGCAAUAUUAAUAUUGGUAACAGAGAGUAACAUAGUAACAUUUUAGUAUGAAUUUGAGUCAUAUAUUUAUUGAUUUUUCCUUGACCAUUAGUUUAUGCUUAGUGGUAACCUUGCGAAUAAACGUGGAUUGUUAGACUAUUGUAAAUUUAGUUGUUAAUAUUUUGAAGUUUAGAAAAAAAAAAAAAUUUAUGGAUAAAAUUUUUUUUUCCCGAGUAGAAGGGGAUUGUAACGGUCACGUUACAAAAUUAGCUCUUUAAUUAUUAUUAUAAUUAUUUUUCCUCGGUCUCCAUUUAAAUUCUCUAAUUUCUCGUAUAGGACUACUGGGGUGACGUCAUACCUCGGUGAUGGAACGUACUCCACCUAUCGAGAAUGAUUUCGUUUUCUGAGAGAGUUUGACGUUUACCUUGGCGGAGAAGCGCCUCUCGUUCUUUACUUGACUGUUGGCUGUUGUGUCGAAUAGAGGUACCAUAUAGAAUGGCGGAUGAUUUCAUCCAACUGAUUUUAUAACAUCAAGCAAUUUAAAGUAAAGUAAAAAGUUACCACCAAGGAUUGUCUGGAGUGAGGAGACAUGUGGGUGACAACUCCUGUUGGAGUCUAAAUAGGAAUCAUUCGCCAUUUGGGAGAAACCCUACCAUGAAGUCAUAGACCUUAUUUGACCACCUAGGGAAACCACUACAGCCACAGUCAAGUCACCAUUGGGAAUACGUCUUUUUGGGAACAAGCUAUGGGAGCGUUCCAGCUCAAUUUUCGUCUUGGCACCUGGGCCUACAGGAAUCAUUUUCUAGGAUGCAACCGCAACCUCGUUUGGGAACAUUUAGUGAGGUGUUGUAGUAACUAUUGAUUUUUUUUAUAUUUCAGACUAUCUGUUAAAUACACUGUUUUUUUCCAGAUUUAGGUUACCUCUGGUUUUUUUGACAUAUUUGUAUAUUAGAUUAUUUGGUUCCCAAACUUUGUAUCUACGGUAACUUCUUGUGCACAGGAAUAAGCCUAGAGAAAAUUAGGUUUUUAAUAUUUUAUUAUUGCUUUGAUAUUGGUUUAUGUAAUUCGGGUAAAUUUAUUUUUUUAAUAUUACUAGCUUGUUUCCCAAAUAUUUUACUGUUAUUCGCUUUAUUCCAUUUGUUCGGUUAAUUUAGGUCAUCGUCGGUAUUUAUCUCAACUUCAUUUCUACUUUAGUCAAUUGUAUAUUUAACUUUAUUUAUUCAUUAUUGUAUUUUCCCUUAGUGAGGCUUGGGCCUAUUUAUUUGUAGUAUUUUCAUCUUUGUCAGUUUCCUUUAGUUGUACGUAGCAGGCGUACUAUAACCAUUUGGUAGAAGACUUAUGUAAUUUUGUACCCUAUAUGUUAGUGAAAGGUACUUAUACAUGUAAUUUUGUAACAGGUAACAUUGUUGUUAUCUUAGGUUGAACAUAACUUUUGCAAACUUUUGUCAUGUUAGAGUCACAUAAUAUGAACUUGUUUAACUCAGAGAUUGUUAAAAAUCUGGUAGUUCAUUUUAAUAAAUGUUUAUUUAUUUUGUA